RNAcentral lists this long non-coding RNA (693 nucleotides) under Salmo salar (Atlantic salmon). RNAcentral's name for it is "lncRNA (ENSSSAG00000094577.1)". Lineage: Eukaryota; Metazoa; Chordata; Actinopteri; Salmoniformes; Salmonidae. The record is from RNAcentral.
CUACGAUAUUAAUUUAGGCUAUCCGUUUAAUAACCGUAUAACAAUUACCUUACUGUGUUUGUUAAUAUUUACUUUUGUUCGUCUUUUAUAUUUCACUGUUGAGAGGUAGCUGGCUAGAAGGAUUUCACUGCACUGUUGAGAGGCAGCUGGCUAGAAGGAUUUCACUGCACUGUUGAGAGGUAUCUGGCUAGAAGGAUUUCACUGCACUGUUGAGAGGUAGCUGGCUAGAAGGAUUUCACUGCACUGUUGCGAGGUAGCUGGCUAGAAGCAUUUCACUGCACCGUUGAGAGGUAGCUGGCUAGAAGGAUUUCACUGCACUGUUGAGAGGCAGCUCGCUAGAAGCAUUUCACUGCACUGUUGAGAGGUAGCUGGCUAGAAGGAUUUCACUGCACUGUUGAGAGGUAGCUGGCUAGAAGGAUUUCACUGCACUGUUGAGAGGUAGCUGGCUAGAAGGAUUUCACUGCACUGUUGAGAGGUAGCUUGCUAGAAGGAUUUCACUGCACUGUUGAGAGGUAGCUGGCUAGAAGGAUUUCACUGCACUGUUGAGAGGUAGCUUGCUAGAAGGAUUUCACUGCACUGUUGAGAGGUAGCUGGCUAGAAGGAUUUCACUGCACCGUUGAGAGGUAGCUGGCUAGAAGGAUUUCACUGCACCGUUGAGAGGUAGCUGGCUAGAAGGAUUUCACCUUUUUGCUC